AUACUUUCCUGGUGUAGGGCUUCCGUGAUCACGUAGGUGGUUUCCCCAGGGUCAGGUUGCUCCAUUGCACUGCGGAUUGGUUGACCCUUGCGAUUAUACUUAUUUUUAUAAGUUACACUUCUACCGUGGGUGACACACAUUUUUUUUCAUGGGUGCUCGCAGCUUA
Molecule: small nuclear RNA, 166 nt
Organism: Bombyx mandarina (wild silkworm)
Lineage: Eukaryota; Metazoa; Arthropoda; Insecta; Lepidoptera; Bombycidae
Source: RefSeq, a predicted model, not a curated record